AGAACAACCAGCCAAGGCAGUAGAGACAUCUUAAAGUUUAAUAUAAUUGUCCAAGCAACUGGGUAUGCAUUUAAAACCAAAACAAAAUAGAUUAAAAAGAAUCAGCCUUAAGGUUGUUGAACUCCCGAAGGAGGAUUCAACCAGCAUAAAACUAAGCCUAAAAUCAGUGACAUAUUCUUGAUAGAAAACGAACUUAAAACCAUCUCGAGUACUGUAAAAUAAUUCGAACGAGAUCACGAAUGCAGCCAAACAACUUCAGAAUAAGCCUUAUCAUAAGUAAAAAGAAACGCGUCCUCCAUUAUUAACAAAAAUAAGAAAUCAGUGAUGCUACUAACAAGCUUUUAGUCGAUUCUCAACUUGCAUGUAGAUAUAUUUAACUCAAAAUGCUAUUUAACCAAACCAUGAGGAAAGUAGACACAAUAUGAACCCAUCAAGCAAUAAAAGCA
RNAcentral lists this unclassified non-coding RNA (446 nucleotides) under Hevea brasiliensis (rubber tree). The record is from RNAcentral. Lineage: Eukaryota; Viridiplantae; Streptophyta; Magnoliopsida; Malpighiales; Euphorbiaceae.